Molecule: ribosomal RNA, 1242 nt
Filed under: metagenome
Description: bacterial LSU rRNA
Rfam family: Bacterial large subunit ribosomal RNA
Source: RNAcentral
UGAAUACGAGAUGCUACGGCGUCGAAGCAGUGUAUGUCAGACUUCCAAGAAAAGCUCGCAAUGUCAUAAAUAAAGAAUGCCUGUACCAUAACCGACACAGGUGGGUAGGUAGAGUAUACUAAGGGGCGCGAGAUAACUCUCUCUAAGGAACUCGGCAAAAUAACUCCGUAACUUCGGGAGAAGGAGUGCCUUCUUUAAGAAGGUUGCAAUAACAAGAUCCAAGCAACUGUUUAUCAAAAACACAGGUCUCCGCUAAGUCGUAAGACGAUGUAUGGGGGCUGACGCCUGCCCAGUGCCAGAAGGUUAAAGAAGUUGGUUAGCUUUUGCGAAGCUGAUGACUGAAGCCCUGGUGAACGGCGGCCGUAACUAUAACGGUCCUAAGGACGCGAAAUUCCUUGUCGGGUAAGUUCCGACCCGCACGAAAGGCGUAAUGAUUUGGAUACUGUCUUGGAGAGGGACUCGGUGAAAUAGACUUGUCUGUGAAGAUGCGGACUACCUGCACCAGGACAGAAAGACCCUAUGAAGCUUUACUGUAACUUGAAAUUGAAAUUGGACUUUAUUUGCGCAGUAUAGGUGGAAGGCGUUGAAAGUAAUCUUGCGGGAUUAGUGGAGCCAUCAGUGAGAUACCACUCCUAUAAUGUUAGAUUUCUAACUUUGGAUCAUGAUCUGGUCAAAGAACAGUUUCAGGCGGGCAGUUUGACUGGGGCGGUCGCCUCCCAAAUGGUAACGGAGGCGUACAAAGGUUUCCUCUGAACGGGUAGAAAUUGUAUCUAGAGUGUAAAGGCAUAAGGAAGCUUGACUGUGAGACCUACAAGUCGAGCAGGGACGAAAGUCGGUCUUAGUGAUCUGACGGUGCUGAGUGGAAAGGCCGUCACUCAACGGAUAAAAGUUACUCUAGGGAUAACAGGCUGAUCUCCCCCAAGAGUUCACAUCGACGGGGAGGUUUGGCACCUCGAUGUCGGCUCAUCGCAUCCUGGGGCGGUAGUACGUCCCAAGGGUUGGGCUGUUCGCCCAUGAAAGCGGUACGCGAGCUGGGUCCAGAACGUCGUGAGACAGUUCGGUCCAUAUCCGGUGUAGGCGUUAGAAUAUUGAGAGGAGCCUUCUUUAGUACGAGAGGACCGAGAAGGACAUACCUCUGGUGUACCAGUUAUCGUGCCAACGGUAAACGCUGGGUAGCUAUGUAUGGAGAGGAUAACCGCUGAAAGCAUCUAAGUGGGAAGCCCACCUCAAGAUGAGUAUUCU